CGUGAACGCUGGCGGUAGGCCUAACACAUGCAAGUCGAACGGCAGCACAGUAAGAGCUUGCUCUUACGGGUGGCGAGUGGCGGACGGGUGAGGAAUACAUCGGAAUCUACUUUUUCGUGGGGGAUAACGUAGGGAAACUUACGCUAAUACCGCAUACGACCUACGGGUGAAAGCAGGGGAUCUUCGGACCUUGCGCGAUUGAAUGAGCCGAUGUCGGAUUAGCUAGUUGGCGGGGUAAAGGCCCACCAAGGCGAGGAUCCGUAGCUGGUCUGAGAGGAUGAUCAGCCACACUGGAACUGAGACACGGUCCAGACUCCUACGGGAGGCAGCAGUGGGGAAUAUUGGACAAUGGGCGCAAGCCUGAUCCAGCCAUACCGCGUGGGUGAAGAAGGCCUUCGGGUUGUAAAGCCCUUUUGUUGGGAAAGAAAAGCAGCAGGUUAAUACCCCGCUGUUCUGACGGUACCCAAAGAAUAAGCACCGGCUAACUUCGUG
RNAcentral lists this ribosomal RNA (492 nucleotides) under uncultured bacterium. RNAcentral describes it as "partial 16S ribosomal RNA". It matches the Rfam family "Bacterial small subunit ribosomal RNA", at positions 29 to 507 of the family's 1533-position model. The record is from RNAcentral.